Molecule: ribosomal RNA, 136 nt
Filed under: Nitrospinota bacterium
Lineage: Bacteria; Pseudomonadati; Nitrospinota
Description: partial 23S ribosomal RNA
Rfam family: Bacterial large subunit ribosomal RNA
Source: RNAcentral
CUAAGCGGGAAGCUCCCCUCGAGAUGAGUUCUCCCUGAAGGACCCAGGAAGACUACCUGGUUGAUAGGCAGGAUGUGUAAGCACAGCAAUGUGUUCAGCUAACUGGUACUAAUUGGUCGCGAGGCUUGAUCUUUAA